GUGACAUACCUAAAACGUUGCUUCGGCGGGAACAGACGGCCCUGUAACAACGGGCCGCCCCCGCCAGAGGACCCCUAACUCUGUUUUUAUAAUGUUUUUCUGAGUAAACAAGCAAAUAAAUUAAAACUUUCAACAACGGAUCUCUUGGCUCUGGCAUCGAUGAAGAACGCAGCGAAAUGCGAUAAGUAAUGUGAAUUGCAGAAUUCAGUGAAUCAUCGAAUCUUUGAACGCACAUUGCGCCCGCCAGUAUUCUGGCGGGCAUGCCUGUUCGAGCGUCAUUACAACCCUCAGGCCCCCGGGCCUGGCGUUGGGGAUCGGCGGAAGCCCCCUGUGGGCACACGCCGUCCCUCAAAUACAGUGGCGGUCCCGCCGCAGCUUCCAUUGCGUAGUAGCUAACACCUCGCAACUGGAGAGCGGCGCGGCCAUGCCGUAAAACACCCAACUUCUGAAUGUUGACCUCGAAUCAGGUAGGAAUACCCGCUGAACUUAAGCAUAUCAAUAAGCGGAGGAA
This 511-nucleotide unclassified non-coding RNA is filed under the name Fusarium solani. RNAcentral's name for it is "sequence contains ITS1, 5.8S rRNA gene, ITS2". The stretch from base 125 to 278 matches the Rfam family "5.8S ribosomal RNA". Lineage: Eukaryota; Fungi; Ascomycota; Sordariomycetes; Hypocreales; Nectriaceae. The record is from RNAcentral.